GGACUAUUCAAAGGGAAAGAAGUGGAAGUAGCAUUUGUUAAAAGCAUAAAGAGUGUGCUAAACCUGACAAAACACACUUUACAGCUAUUACUAAAUCUAAUAGUCACAACAGCCUCAUGGGACAAACAAUGUCAUUUCUGCUUUCCAGACGGGAAACCGGGAAGUCCGAAGGGUGGGUGCGGGGACAGGGCUUAGCAAGGUCCUAUCCGUGUAAGAAGAAAGCUCAUAGUCUUGCCGCUCACUAAGUCCUAUGGAGUGAAGACAGCUUAGAAAAGGACAUGUCACAUGCACUGAGCUCCAGAAAGAUCACCCUGAUCCCCAGAUGGAUCUCCCACUUUCCUUCUGGCUGACAUUCAGGCAACUCGUUUCUCAGCCUCGGUUCCCUCAUCUAUAACGUGGGAAUAAGAAGAUGUAUUCGAGAGGCGUUUAAACAGUGCAAGAUUCUUGAAGCUUCUGCACAUCACUCUUACAAAUGUCAGAGCGUUUUACUUACAGCUUCAGAGAGGGGCUUAAUGGGAAACACAACUGGAAAGCCUCAGGAAACUUACAAUCAUGGUGGAAGGCGAAGGGGAAGCAAGCAUGUCUUACCAUGAUGGCUGGAGGGCGGUGGAUGGUCAGGGGGACUGCUGCACACUUUUAAACUAUCAAAUCUCCUAAGAACUCACUCACUAUCAAGAGAACAGCAAGGGGGAGUCCGCCCCCAUGGUUCAACGACCUCCCUCCAGGCCCCUCCCCUGACGUGGGGAUUACAACUUGAGAUGAGAUUUGGGUGGGUACACAGAAGCAAACUAUAUCACUGGGCAUUGGGAAAUUUAAGCAAAGAACAGAGGAUGAGAGGUGAGAAGUCACAUUAAAAAAUUGAAUUGCAAAUCAUUCCAGUCUUCUUGUGAAAACUAUUCCCCGCCCCAAGACAGAGUCUCACUCUGUCACCCAAGCAGCUGGAGUGCAGUGGCACAAUCUCGGCUCACUGCAGCCUCCAUCUCCAGGACUGAAGCAAUUCUCUUGCCUCAGCCUUCCAAGUAGCUGGGAUUACAGGUGCAUGCCACCACGCCUGGCUAAGAUUUUGUAUUUUUAGUAGAGACAGGGUUUCACCAUAUUGGCCAGGCUGAUCUUGAACUCCCAAUUUCAUGAUCCACCUGCCUCAGCCUCCCAAUGUGUUGGGAUUACAGUCGUGAGCCACCACGCCUGGCCAUGAAAACUAUUCUUUACUUGAUGGUUCUCCAGUACUCUUUUCUUUGGUGAAAAGGGGACUUCUUCAUUCCAUUUAGCUGUCACUAACCAAGGUUAUUCAAG
RNAcentral lists this long non-coding RNA (1293 nucleotides) under Papio anubis (olive baboon). Its description in RNAcentral is "lncRNA (ENSPANG00000040051.1)". Lineage: Eukaryota; Metazoa; Chordata; Mammalia; Primates; Cercopithecidae. The record is from RNAcentral.